Mauremys reevesii (Reeves's turtle) is the source of this 630-nucleotide long non-coding RNA. RefSeq lists it as uncharacterized. The transcript is spliced from 4 exons. The record is from RefSeq and is a predicted model, not a curated record. Lineage: Eukaryota; Metazoa; Chordata; Testudines; Geoemydidae.
CACAAACAAAAAAAGCCACUUCAAAUAUUCCAGCUAGUCGCAAAUCUGAAUCAAGUCAGCAGACCAUCAGACAUGGAGUGGCAAUGAACAGAUUCUCAGAUGAGAGAAAUGCAGCCGAUUUGAACGUUGAGGGUGUGAAAACUUCAGGAAGUUGCUAGAAGAUCUGGGAUAUCUACAGAAAGGAAAGAAGCAAAACUCAUCACUGCUACCAAGAGAUCCAGACUAACACGGCUACCCCUCUGAUACUUAACCAAUCUGAGCGUUUUCAGGUGAAGGAAGUGAAUCUAUCCUUUGCUGUCAAAGGCUACAAGCAGUUUCAUAAGAAUAAAGCAAGAUACAUAACCAAAGCUUCUGAAGUUACAAAAGGAUUGACUUGUUCCAAUCAAGAAUAAGGAAACCACUUAUACCUACUAGAUUUUUAGCAGUACAGCUGAUUGUAUGGAGAGAGAGAGAUAAACCAAUCCAGCAAUUCAUCAUGCAGAAGAUGUGCAUUUAUACUCCCUGUUACAAAAUGAAUCCAAUGACAAUGGAUCUGGUUUCCCUUCAGGUGAAAGAAAUGCAGCUUGUCCGUCAGAAGUAGGAACAGUUUCUCUUGCUAUCAAGAGGAGGUCAUAUUUUGAGAUGCAAGGA